UACGUAGGGGGCUAGCGUUGUCCGGAUUUAUUGGGCGUAAAGAGCGUGUAGGCGGCCAGGUAGGUCUGCUGUGAAAACUCGAGGCUCAACCUCGAGACGUCGGCGGAAACCAUCUGGCUAGAGUCCGGAAGAGGAGAGUGGAAUUCCUGGUGUAGCGGUGAAAUGCGCAGAUAUCAGGAAGAACACCCGUGGCGAAGGCGGCACUCUGGGACGGUACUGACGCUGAGACGCGAAAGCGUGGGGAGCGAACAGG
Molecule: ribosomal RNA, 253 nt
Filed under: uncultured bacterium
Lineage: Bacteria
Description: partial 16S ribosomal RNA
Rfam family: Bacterial small subunit ribosomal RNA
Source: RNAcentral